AAUACAGUCUGCACCACUCGAGCAUAGUGAUGACAGGGACUUCACCUGACUGCCUCAACUUCUCAAAUACCACUGAGAGUGGCUCGGUGACUGCAGCAGUGAAUUCCCUCAGGGCUCUGGGACUCGUCUCAUCAGGACCUAAAGACUCCUGGAUGCUCGGGUCCUCAGGUGACAGCGGAGUUGCAGCACUCCCGAGUGCCGUAACGACUGCAUGGAGAUGCGUGGCUCUUCAUGGGAACAGCAAGGAACCGGAAUCUGCAUUUCCUGGAACGCCCCGGAACCUCGCUUUGCUGGCCGGUAAUUGUCUGCUCAGCAGGUAAGGGUA
Long non-coding RNA from Lagopus leucura (white-tailed ptarmigan), 325 nucleotides. RefSeq lists it as uncharacterized. The record is from RefSeq and is a predicted model, not a curated record. The transcript is spliced from 3 exons. NCBI's taxonomy places the organism in Eukaryota, Metazoa, Chordata, Aves, Galliformes, Phasianidae.